RNAcentral lists this ribosomal RNA (376 nucleotides) under uncultured bacterium. RNAcentral describes it as "bacterial SSU rRNA". It matches the Rfam family "Bacterial small subunit ribosomal RNA", at positions 28 to 404 of the family's 1533-position model. The record is from RNAcentral.
GACGAACGCUGGCGGCGUGCUUAACACAUGCAAGUCGAGCGGUAAGGCCCUUUCGGGGGUACACGAGCGGCGAACGGGUGAGUAACACGUGGGUGACCUGCCUUUAGCUCUGGGAUAAGCCUGGGAAACUGGGUCUAAUACCGGAUACGACUCCGCGGUGCAUGCUGUGGGGUGGAAAGCCUUGUGCGGCUGGAGAUGGGCCCGCGGCCUAUCAGCUUGUUGGGUGGGGUGAUGGCCUACCAAGGCGACGACGGGUAGCCGGCCUGAGAGGGCGACCGGCCACACUGGGACUGAGACACGGCCCAGACUCCUACGGGAGGCAGCAGUGGGGAAUCUUGCGCAAUGGGCGAAAGCCUGACGCAGCGACGCCGCGUGA